RNAcentral lists this ribosomal RNA (761 nucleotides) under uncultured bacterium. RNAcentral describes it as "bacterial SSU rRNA". It matches the Rfam family "Bacterial small subunit ribosomal RNA", at positions 28 to 776 of the family's 1533-position model. The record is from RNAcentral.
GAUGAACGCUAGCUACAGGCUUAACACAUGCAAGUCGAGGGGAAACGACAUCGAAAGCUUGCUUUUGAUGGGCGUCGACCGGCGCACGGGUGAGUAACGCGUAUCCAACCUGCCCACCACUUGGGGAUAACCUUGCGAAAGUAAGACUAAUACCCAAUGACGUCUCUAGAAGACAUCUGAAAGGGAUUAAAGAUUUAUCGGUGAUGGAUGGGGAUGCGUCUGAUUAGCUUGUUGGCGGGGUAACGGCCCACCAAGGCGACGAUCAGUAGGGGUUCUGAGAGGAAGGUCCCCCACAUUGGAACUGAGACACGGUCCAAACUCCUACGGGAGGCAGCAGUGAGGAAUAUUGGUCAAUGGGCGAGAGCCUGAACCAGCCAAGUAGCGUGCAGGAUGACGGCCCUAUGGGUUGUAAACUGCUUUUAUAAGGGAAUAAAGUGAGAGUCGUGACUCUUUUUGCAUGUACCUUAUGAAUAAGGACCGGCUAAUUCCGUGCCAGCAGCCGCGGUAAUACGGAAGGUCCGGGCGUUAUCCGGAUUUAUUGGGUUUGAAGGGAGCGUAGGCCGGAGAUUAAGCGUGUUGUGAAAUGUAGACGCUCAACGUCUGCACUGCAGCGCGAACUGGUUUCCUUGAGUACGCACAAAGUGGGCGGAAUUCGUGGUGUAGCGGUGAAAUGCUUAGAUAUCACGAAGAACUCCGAUAACGAAGGCAGCUCACUGGAGCGCAACUGACGCUGAAGCUUAAAAGGGCGGGUAUCGAACAGG